CUACAAUGAUGGUAGUAUUUUUCAUCAAUAGCAAUUCACCUGGUAAAUGUUGAUACUUUGGGUCUGAAUAA
This is a small nucleolar RNA of Lemur catta (Ring-tailed lemur), 71 nucleotides long. RefSeq annotates it as small nucleolar RNA SNORD56. The record is from RefSeq and is a predicted model, not a curated record. Lineage: Eukaryota; Metazoa; Chordata; Mammalia; Primates; Lemuridae. The transcript has a single exon.